This 468-nucleotide ribosomal RNA is filed under the name uncultured bacterium. RNAcentral's name for it is "partial 16S ribosomal RNA". It matches the Rfam family "Bacterial small subunit ribosomal RNA", at positions 28 to 507 of the family's 1533-position model. The record is from RNAcentral.
GACGAACGCUGGCGGCGUGCUUAACACAUGCAAGUCGAACGGAAAGGCCCUGCUUUUGUGGGGUGCUCGAGUGGCGAACGGGUGAGUAACACGUGAGUAACCUGCCCUUGACUUUGGGAUAACUUCAGGAAACUGGGGCUAAUACCGGAUAGGAGCUCCUGCUGCAUGGUGGGGGUUGGAAAGUUUCGGCGGUUGGGGAUGGACUCGCGGCUUAUCAGCUUGUUGGUGGGGUAGUGGCUUACCAAGGCUUUGACGGGUAGCCGGCCUGAGAGGGUGACCGGCCACAUUGGGACUGAGAUGCGACCCAGACUCCUACGGGAGGCAGCAGUGGGGAAGAUUGCACAAUGGGCGGAAGCCUGGUGCAGCAACGCCGCGUGCGGGAUGACGGCCUUCGGGUUGUAAACCGCUUUCGCCUGUGACGAAGCGUGAGUGACGGUAAUGGGUAAAGAAGCACCGGCUAACUACGUG